Molecule: ribosomal RNA, 394 nt
Filed under: uncultured bacterium
Lineage: Bacteria
Description: partial 16S ribosomal RNA
Rfam family: Bacterial small subunit ribosomal RNA
Source: RNAcentral
AUACGUAGGUGACAAGCGUUAUCCGGAUUUACUGGGCGUAAAGGGCGUGUAGGCGGUCUUGCAAGUCAGAAGUGAAAUUCCUGAGCUCAACUCGGGCGCUGCUUCUGAAACUGCAGGACUUGAGUGCUGGAGGGGAUAGCGGAAUUCCUAGUGGAGCGGUAAAAUGCGCAGAUAUCUGGAAGAACACCAAUGGCGAAGGCAGGCAUCUGGCCAUGUACUGACGCUGAGACGCGAAGGUGCGGGGAGCAAACAGGUUUAGAUACCCUGGUAGUCCGCACAGUAAACGAUGUGCACCAGGUGGCGGGGGGUCGACCCUCGGUACCGUAGCUAAGGCAUUAAGUGCACCGCCUGGGGAGUAUGCUCGCAAGGGUGAAACUCAAAGGAAUUGACGGGG